Long non-coding RNA from Leopardus geoffroyi (Geoffroy's cat), 486 nucleotides. RefSeq lists it as uncharacterized. NCBI's taxonomy places the organism in Eukaryota, Metazoa, Chordata, Mammalia, Carnivora, Felidae. The record is from RefSeq and is a predicted model, not a curated record. The transcript is spliced from 3 exons.
CGCCGCCGUAUUGGGUGCUGGCUAACGAAGCCGAAGCCCCCGUGGGCGAGUGUCACCAACCCGCUUCCGGAUGCAUUCCCCUGUCCUCCAGGGCACGUGAGGGGACGGCCUCACCUUUCCAGGCAAAAGCACACACUCUUGGAUCUAGGAAGAUGUCUUUAAUAACGUAAUUUUUAAGUGCUUAAAAGAACUCUACAGGGAACUCUACACAGUGUCUGAUGGGGAAAGGGACCCGGCCUGCCUCCCUGAGGAGUCCAUCCUGAGACCGAUCUGGAGAAGUUACUCAGAGAUAAGGGAACCGGCACGUGAAACAGCUCAGAAAAGACCCACCAAAACUGGCAAUCUCAGAUGCCUUUUGAGAGAAGACCGGGGCCGGGGGCUGGAGGACCAGAGACUUGCCUUUCACUGUCUGCACUUGCCUGCCUUUUGCAUCCUGCAUCUGGUACUACGUUGCAGUUAUUGAAAGAUAAAUAAAAUCUAAAUCCA